Molecule: transfer RNA, 76 nt
Filed under: Parasutterella excrementihominis
Lineage: Bacteria; Pseudomonadati; Pseudomonadota; Betaproteobacteria; Burkholderiales; Sutterellaceae
Also listed under: 1 other name
Description: tRNA-Thr
Rfam family: tRNA
About the family: Transfer RNA (tRNA) molecules are approximately 80 nucleotides in length.
Source: RNAcentral
GCCGGUAUAGCUCAGUUGGUAGAGUAGCGCAUUCGUAAUGCGAAGGUCGGAGGUUCGACUCCUCUUACCGGCACCA